This 4303-nucleotide long non-coding RNA is filed under the name Triticum aestivum (bread wheat). Its description in RNAcentral is "long non-coding RNA (TAES_LNC023267)". The record is from RNAcentral. Lineage: Eukaryota; Viridiplantae; Streptophyta; Magnoliopsida; Poales; Poaceae.
CUCCAUCCUUUGCCCAUCAACCGCUGGACCCCGAGCUCAACCAGCCUCGGUCGUGUGUGCGAGCAUGCACUGGUGCGCUCUGUUUGUGGUGUGUUCGUGCGUGGGUGCAUUGUUUUGGCUGCGUACGUGUGUGGUGUUGUGUUGGAAAGUUCAGCUACUGUAUAUUGGGAAGAGCUAAUUCAUUUUCAGUAAUGAUACUGCCUCAAUGCCUUCUUCUCGAAUCAAACAUUUAGCUUGCUAUGCGUUUGGAGAAAAGAAUAAACAAGAUAACGCAAACCGGCCCUGGUUGGAUAUGGUGAGAGAAGAUGCUAAUUUUGUGGUGGAGAAUUGUAGUAACGCCAAGUUAGUGCUUGUUUUGUGUAUAAAAAAGGAUUACAUACAUGUAAUUAUUGUAUGACCAGGCCACUGGAGAUUUUGUUUUGUAGGUAUACAAUGUAUUUUCGCUACAGAUCCUUAUGGUCAAUGAUCUCCAAAUUUUACUCUCUUUACUCUUCUAGUGUAAGAAGUUUAAAUAUACAAAAUAUAAAAGUUCAAACAUGUAAAAGAGAAAAAAAAGUUAGUCUACAAAAUUUACUUCUAAAAAGAUCAUGUAAAUUAGCACAAGAGUUCAAAUAUAAAAUCAACAAAAAUAGUUUGAUGUUUACAAACCCAAAAGAAGGUCAUUAAAAAAAGCAUCUCAAACAAUUUUGUAAAAAAAGUUUUUCUCUGUUAAAAUAAACCUAGAAGCUCAAAUUGAAAAAUGGAGCGGCUCGAGGUCUAUCAAAAAGUAGGAUUUUUUUCGUCACUAAAAGAAAUAAACCAGGAAGUCCAUAUUAAAAAUAUGGAGAAGUUAGAUGAUUAUAGAAAUCUCAGAUUUUCCUCAUUAUUAAAGAAUGGAAACAAGAAGUUCCAAAUUUAAAUAACCAGCAGUUCAACUUUUAAAAAUAUAACGCUUCAAAAUUUCAUAAAAAAGAUUAAGAAAUAAAACCAGGAAGUCCAUAUUAAAAAGAUGGAGAAGUUCGAUGAUUAUGGAAAACUCGGAUUUUCCUCGUUAUUAAAGAAUGGAAACAAGAAGUUCAAAAAUAAAAUAACAAGAAGUUCAACUAUUAAAAAUAGAGCGCUUCAAAAUUCAUAAAAAAUGAUUAAGAAAAUUAGAUUAAAAAUUUAUAAAAAAACUCAAAUAUUUUCACGUAACCGAUAGAAGAUCAGGUUGAUAACUGCCAGAAGUUCAUGUACUACACGUUGUGCAUUUGUAUGAAAAAAGAAUGAAAAAGCAAAGGCUAAAAGUUUCGUUGCUAGAAGUUGAAGUGCUAAACCCGAGAAAGUUCAAAAAUUCUUGUGAGAGAGGUUGAACAAAAGUACGUGACAGAAGUUCAAGGUGAAAAUAGCGGGAAGUUCAAGCAAAGGAUAAAAUUUCAUUGCUAAAAGUUCAAGUGCUCGGCCCGAGAAAGUUCAAAAAUUCUUGUGAGAGAGGUUGAACAAACAUACGUGAUAGAAGUUCAAGAUGAAAACAGCGGGAAGUUCAACUACUACACGAAAUGCAUUUCGGAAAAGAAUAUAAGCAUAGAAAACUAAAAGCUUCAAAUGUUGUAAGAAGUUCACGUGCUCCUCCCGGUGAAGUUCGAGAUCUCUAGUGCAAGACGUCCAACCUUCAACUACAUGUUAAAAACAAGUAAAAAGAUGUUGUUUUUGCCAUUUUUAAUACUGCUCUCAAACAGUAACGAAUUUGUGACAAUUGUCUUGAUGAAAAAUUUAGUUGCUCAAAGUUCAAUUGACCUGCCCGCGAAGGUUCAAAAAAGGAUUUUGCCCGUUACUAACAAAUAAAACUAAGAAGUUCAAAUUUAAAAAAUGGUGAAGUUCGAUGUCUAUAAGAAAUGAAGAUUUUUCUCAUAAUUUUUCCCAUCACGAAUGAAAAACACAAGAAAUUCAGUUCGAAAAUAUCCAAGAAGUUGUACGAUGUUUAUCACAAAAUUAGCAUUUUUCCCGUUACAAAUGAAAGACACCAAGAAGUUCGAAUUGAAAAAAACCAAGAAGUUCAAUUUUAAAAAAUACAAUAGUUCAUUGUAUAUGAAAAAAAAUAGAUUUUCCUCGAUAAUAAAUAAUAAACCAAGAAGUUCAAUUUUAGAAAAUGGUGCAGUUCAAUAUUUAUCACAAAAACUUCAAUUUUUCCAAUUGCUAACGAAUAAACCAAGAAGUUCAGUUCGAAAUAACGAAGAAUUUGUAUAAUGUUUAUUACAAAACUAAGAUUUUUCCCGUAUAAAAAUCAAAUGCAAUUCUUUACUCAAAAUAUAAAAAGGUGAAGUUAAAAUUGAAAUAACAGAGAAGUUCGGAGUUUAUUAAAACCUAGGAUUUACCUAUUGAAAAAAAACACAACGCCAUUUUUUGCACUUUUAAAACAACUCAUAAAUGAAAAGAAUGGUUGAUAGAAGUUCAAUUGCUUAGUGAGGAAAAGUUCAAAAAAUUCUUGUGAGAGAGGUUCACCGUGUAUUUAGAUAUCCAAAAUACAUAAAAAAAUAUGUUUUUUUUGUGUUUUAAAAUAAUUCUCUCAAACCAGAGAGAAGUUCAAAAGUGAUAACAACCGGAAGUUCACGUACUACAUGGCAUGUAUUUCAUACAAGAAAAAUACAAAUAAAGUGAAACAGAGUGAAGUUCAAACAGACAUGCCCCAGAAGUUCAACUACUUCACAUAGUACGAAAAGCAGCAUGUCAAAAAAUAGCACGUCAAAAACAGAGUGAAGUUCAAACAGACAUGCCCGAGAAGUUCAACUACUUCACGCAGUGCAUUUCCAUUCACGAUGAAGGCAGAAAUCAUGAUCUUGUCAUUUUCUAAUUUACUUCAAAACGAUAGGAAUAUCAUUUGUGUAAGUGCAAGUCCUCGGUCGGAGAAAGUUAAAAAAAUAUUGUGAGAGGGGUUUGUACAAAAAGAAUAUCAUUUGUGUAACACUGCCGAAAAUGGAUGGGAAAAUUACAGACAAAAUAUGUCACACAAGUCCAACGUGAAAACAGCAGGAAGUUCAACUACUACACUAAAUAAAUAUCACAAGAAAAACUUUUAAAACCGUUGCGAGUAUGAAAAAAUGAUCACCAUGGAAAAGUUGCGUGUUUAUAGCAGCUUUCCAUCGGUAUAUCACUUGUGUAAUUCCGGUGAGUUAAUGAAGAGCUAUGAGCAAAAAAAGCACAUGAACAACAGAGUGAAGUUCAGGCAGAACUGCCACAGAAGUUUAAGUACUUCAUGCAAUGCAUUUUCGACGAAUUUGUUUCGUGAUAAAGGCAGAACGAGUGAUCUCGCCAUUUCUGAAAUUACUUGAAAAUUGCUGGGAUUCAGAGAAAACCAUCAACAUGAAAAAGUUUCGCAAUUUUCAUAGCUUUUUAACAGUAUAUUAUUUGCCCCGUUCCGAUGAAGUUUGUAGAAAUUACGGCGAAAAUACGUUUUUAGCUAUUUUCAAAAUCAACGUAAAACUAUAAUGAAUUUGGAGAAACAAUAUAUACCAAAAAGUUUCGCAUUUGUUUAGACUUUCCAACGCCAUAGCAUUUUCUACGUUCAGACGUAUGAUUAAAACAAUAUAUCGAAAAUACAAACUUGGUACAAAUUGUACCGUUUUCUAAAUUACUCUUAAACUAAUCAAAAUUAGAAAAAAAAACUUUCAACAUGAGAAAAAAUCGCAUUUUCAUAAGCUUUCCAACACCAUAUCAUUUGUCUCAAUUGGAUUAGGCGUUUAGAAAUGGCAACGAAAAUACGAAGUCGGUUGUUCGGUUUGCAAAAUUUUACGAUUUUACAUAUUACACUUUAACCAUAUGGAAUUAGAAAAAACUUUCAUCAUGUGGAAGGAGCGGUUUUACAGCAGCUUUCCAACGACAUAUUAUUUGCCUCAUUCCGAUAAACGGUUUAGAAAUGCGAUCGAAAAUACGAUUCACAUUUUUUGUGUGAAGAAAGCACGGUUUUCAAAACUGCUCUUAAACAACUUACAUUUUGCCAAAAUUUUAAGUUGGGUCAUGAUACUGGUGUCCAUGUCUUUCCAAUGGUAUAUCGCAAGCCCUAUUUGGGCAAUGUUGACGAAAGUCCAACCUAGCACUAUGGGAAGUUCAGGUUGAACAAAUCAGGUAGUAAAAUUGCAAAAAACGCAAUUUCAUCACGACCCAAGAGCAAAAUCUGCCAGCGAGCGAGAUUUCUAUUUAAAACCGGUAUUUAGUUGCUAAAAAACUUUUCUUGAUUACACUAACAUCAUAUAGAACAACUAACUAGAAUAAUUCGCGGGGGAAGCCACGGUUGCAAAGAUAGCCCGAAGGUCGGAUCGUACAGAGGGAAGUUUAGGCGCGUGUACAA